RNAcentral lists this ribosomal RNA (460 nucleotides) under uncultured bacterium. Its description in RNAcentral is "partial 16S ribosomal RNA". It matches the Rfam family "Bacterial small subunit ribosomal RNA", at positions 338 to 795 of the family's 1533-position model. The record is from RNAcentral.
CCUACGGGUGGCAGCAGUGAGGAAUAUUGGUCAAUGGGCGCGAGCCUGAACCAGCCAAGUAGCGUGUAGGAUGACUGCCCUACGGGUUGUAAACUUCUUUUAUAAAGGAAUAAAGUGAGGCACGUGUGCCUUUUUGUAUGUACUUUAUAAAUAAGGAUCGGCUAACUCCGUGCCAGCAGACGCGGUAAUACGGAGGAUCCGAGCGUUAUCCGGAUUUAUUGGGGUUAAAGGGAGGGUAAAUGGGUUGUUAAGUCAGUUGUGAAAGUUUGCGGCUCAACCGUAGAAGUGCAAUUGAUACUGGCAGUCUUGAGUACAGUUGAGGUAGGCGGAAUGCGUGGUGUAGCGGUGAAAUGCUUAGAUAUCACGAAGAACUCCGAUUGCGAAGGCAGCUUACCAAACUGCCACUGACAUUGAUGCUCGAAAGUGUGGGUAUCAAACAGGAUUAGAUACCCUAGUAGUC